CAAUCCUACCUCAAAGGAAAUAUGGACAUGUCUGGUUUUGGCCUGAAUGCACAAAGAUAAUGACAAAUACUAGAAUUGUAUCUGACUCUAGUACCACCUCCACCACCUUUUAAAAACAUAGAGGUAGAGGGUUGACCAUGCCAAAUUGCCCCUAGGUGUGAACGAGUAUGUGUGCAUGGUGCCCUGUGAUGGAUUAGCGUCCCAUCCAGGGUGUAUUCUCCUGCCUGUCACCUAGUGAUCCUGGGAUAGGCUCCAAAUCUACUGUGUCUCUGCCCAGAAUUGAGCGAUUGCUGAUUUCAUCGUUAAUGACAAGGAACAGCUUUGAUGAUGAUGAAGAAAACUACGGAGAAGAAACUCCCCAGCUGCGCUGCACUGCCAAGACUCCUGGGUCCUGCCUCACGGACGCUUCAGCCACACCGGGAAAAACAGCGACCUUCACACAGACCCAGCACCUCUUCACCUCCUUGUAUGCAUCAGAAUUUAAAUAAAAACCCCACUUCUGUGCACUACCUCUGCCUCCCAAGUGUCUGUGUUCUGCCUGUUUGGGCCCUGAGCGGCCCCCCCCACACACACACCAAAAUAAAUAAAUAAAUAAAUAAAUAAAUAAAUAAAUAAACUUUCUAAAAUACUUCACUGGAGUAGUAAACAGGUCUACAUAGUUACAG
Molecule: long non-coding RNA, 665 nt
Organism: Ictalurus punctatus (channel catfish)
Lineage: Eukaryota; Metazoa; Chordata; Actinopteri; Siluriformes; Ictaluridae
Source: Ensembl